Long non-coding RNA from Prinia subflava (tawny-flanked prinia), 5404 nucleotides. RefSeq lists it as uncharacterized. NCBI's taxonomy places the organism in Eukaryota, Metazoa, Chordata, Aves, Passeriformes, Cisticolidae. The transcript is spliced from 3 exons. The record is from RefSeq and is a predicted model, not a curated record.
AGAGGGGAGUUAUCUUCUGCAAUCAACCCUUUUAAACAGCCUUCUUCAUUCAAACAGCUGGCACAUACAAGAGCUUAAAACAUAAAAAGCAAAGUGACCUAUUGUGUUUUGACUCAAAGUAGAUACAGAAGUAACCUUCAAGGUUACCUUGCCCUAUGCGCGGCCUCAGGAAGGAAAAAACCACAGUUUCAGCAAAGGAAUUUCUUGCCUGGCUAGAGGCCACACCCGCCACAACAACUGAUGGCAGGAAAGCAUUUGGAUUCACAACUCUACCCGUAGCACCCAGCCGGAGGCAAAGCAAAACUUUCUCAUUUUCAGAGAAGAAAAGAAACUCUUGCUCAAUAAGUAGCAAUUAUGCUGCAGAAUUUAUAUGCUGAGCACGGCUGAAUGUACGAGCACCAGAUCAGUCAACCAUAGCUUUAGUGCUUUGAGUAUGAUUAACAGAAUGAACUUUCAAAGGUCAAUUAAAUGUCAACACAUUUUAAAGAGAUAUUCUUUUUAAGCUGCGGCAAUGUGUAACAGUACCUUCCAGAGCUGCUGUGCACUUUCACCUUCAAAUUUUACCCAUUUUAUACUUACAUGUGCAGAUAUAAAGAUGAUAACUAAUUAACCUUUGAUAGAAAAUAAUGGCUAUUUACACUCCUGGCUUUUCUAUCACUAAGCUGUCCUUAUUACUUGUGUUGAAGCAAGUACACAGAGACACUUGCCCCAGAAUUUCAUUUCAAUUGUUGAGGGUGUGAGCAAAGUGAGAAGAAAAGGAGCAAGAACAGUUUGAAAGUCUAAUAACUUAGUAAACGAAAAUGAGAAGAGGCUUUUGAUAUGCAAUUGAGCUGCCUCGAUGUGAAUCUGGGGGAGGAUGGGGGGACGGGACCGUAACUGAAUUAAUUAUGAACGCAUUAAUCAUGACUUUAGGCAGCCCAGUGAUUUAUCUCUUCACUUCUAAACAUUUCUGAAAAUUCAAACUUCAGCUAACCAGCUUAGGACAUCUGAAAACAAACGCUGAAAAGCUGAACGCUUAGUACAAUUCAUUUAAGUUACCCCUCAAACCGGAUGCUCAAAUCAUUAAUUAGUUUAAAAGUUAAAAAAAAAUACAAUUAAAAAAAAAAACCCCAAAGUCUUCAUCUCAGUACAAACUAAAAGAAACAAAAUCCUGACCAAGGCCUCCCAACUCUACCAUAAUCAUUCUGACAUGAACAAUAUUUAUUCGAGACCAGAGCUAAAGAAUAAUUUGAGAGUUGAGAAAAACCAGCAGAGAGCCGCGCUCUGUGCAGACGCCAGAAAGAAACGGGUGGGAGAGUUUUCCUUUCACAAGGGCUGCGGUCCCGGCAUCUCUCCACAGGAGUGUUGAUUUUCACCUUAAAUGAAAUGGGUGAGGUGUCAUCAGGGAAGUCCAGCUAUUAAAACAAGCUGCAGCACAGCCCACCACACCAGCUGAGGUCCAAACAGAACCGUGUGAUGCUGGAGGCAGCAGACCUGCAGAGCACCCACGAGGCACAGCCCCAGAUCUCAGCCAGAAGCAAGGACAGCAGGGGUUGGGUAUUUCUGCAUCAUGCUACAUUCUGGAGGAUGUGAACAGUCUCAAAGCUUCACGUUAAGAUGUUGCAGCCCAUCAACUACUGCUGACUUCUAAAGAAAAGUAAUCACUACCAUGACCAAGGGAUAGCACUGCAUUGUUUUAAAGGAUUCCAGACAAACCUCUAGCCCAGUCAGAGACACUGACCUCUACUAAAGCCUCUUACAGCCUCUGCAUUAGGCCCUAUGGACAGGGACAGAGCACUACACAAUGGAAACAUUUCUGAUGUUGCAGCCCCACUAUCAAACAUUUCUGAAAAUUUAAAUGCCUGUUUAAUUAAUCUUUAACUCAUGAGAGCAUGCUUUAGGGAAUGCUGAGGGUGACAAGGAAGGAGUCUCCUGUACACGUGAAAGCAAACAUCAGGCUUUCAUGCUGAGUGCUGUUACUGCAGUAUGAGACAAUGCAAGACCUCCCUAUUUCUAACAAAACUAAUGAGUAGUGUUCUUCGAAUUGAGAGCCAACUUCUUUGUGCAAUACUGCCCCCCUCUGCCAUCACCAUUAACCCACGAGAAGCACACUCUAUGAUAUUCAAAAUAGUUUUGGUUUUUAUUUGUGGGGUUUUUUUGUUGUUUGGUUUGUUUUUGUAGGAAAUUUGAAAUUUGCUUUUGUUUUGAUCUGUACCAGGAGGCUAUGUCCUCCAUCCCUUGCUUUCUUCAGCAACUAUGACUGUAUCAUCCUUUAAAUAAGUUUUAAAAAUAUAAAGUUUUAUUAUGAAAAAUGGAAGCUAUUUUAAAAACUUUUUCAUUGGAUUCCAUCCCAUAUGCAAAUCUGCAUAACAUAUGUACUUUCCCAGGCUACACAAACAAGAAAUACUUGUGUAUUGAUAAAUAAACUUCUAUGAGAGGACUUUGUGUUUGGAGUUUUUUCCCUUCCUUUUCAGUCCUUGCUGAAAAGAAGUUGUCCUAAGGUGAUUUUUGUCACUCUCUUAAGCAGAUGUUGUCAAUCAAAAGAACUAGUAGAACACUGUCAAAAAAUGCAAAAGCACAUUUUCCUGUCUCGUUCUUCCAGUUUCAUUCAUAUGUUUGCUAAUGUAAAGCGCCUACUUUUUCUGCAAGACAUUUACAUAAAGUAAUCCAAAAGGACAAAAAAGGGUUCAAGAGAUCUUACAAAUAAGCAACAAAUGCUGGCACUUUUAUUUAAUUUCACUGGAAAUGGGGAAAAUACUCCAAAUUUCUGCCUGGCCUAAAGUUCAGACCAUCACAAUUCUUCAUUUAACAAUUCUGGCAGCAGAGAGCACAGAAAAAAACCUGGUCCUUUGCCUCAAGAAGUCUGUGUUCUAAGCUAAAUUCUCUUUUGCCUAAUACAAAGUCCUGCACAAUAAGAGCAGGGCAAAACACACACAACUUACAUAUACCAAUGAAUUAGUGUUCUAAUGCUCAUGAGAAGCCCAUCUAAUUAAGUGUUGGAGCUGAGAAGGAUUACAUGCCCCAAAUAAAAAAAAAAUCAAUGUAUCAUUCUAUUUAUUUUUAAUACAAACAGGAAUAGUUCAACAGAAAUUUAAGUGUUUUUCCAAGAAUAUGUUACAUUAGUUAAUGUACUAAAAGUCUUCCACCUCUAGAAGCUCCUGUGAGCAACAGUACAGUAAAUCAUGAAUGGAAAUCAUUCUGGUGCCCUCCUUUCUUCUACUCCAUGAAUUUGGACAAGUUUGAGCCCAGUGGGAAAGUGACAGCCAAAAAGGACAAAUGUGUUGCAACAACCUAGAGGAGCUACUCUGACCACCAGAUGGAGCCCACACUGUUCCAUAAUAGGAUGGAAAUACAAUUACAAGCAGAUGCACAGGGUGGCUUUGGUUGGUUUGUUUGUUUUCAGAAGCUGCAUGUUUCAAAAUUCUUUAUGGCAUCAAGGCAUCUCAAAACCACUGGGAAUUAUGGAUACAGACUUAAGACCCCAGGAAAACUAGCCUUAUUACCCCCAAGUCACACAGUUUAAAAAUGGUUUUUAAUUAAGCACAGUACAACAAAACACACUAUGAAAUGUUCUGUGAAAUAUCCUGGGUUGGUGUCCCAAAAUUCCUGUCCAAGAUGAACAGAUGGGCAACAAUGAAAAGAAGAGCAACAUCUCCAUCUCCAUUUAUGGGAGAUAGAGAAGAGCAGAAACUCAUCUCAAGAUACAUCAAGCAAUUUAGGUCAACAUUUACAUUUGAAAUCUACCAUCAAGCACACAGAUUUUUUGCAUCUUGGCAAAGAUUAAUACCUUAACCACAAAAUGUCACGGUGUUAGGGCUACACCAUCAUACUUGGUCCUGUACAGUAGAAUUUUAUUAUUUCAUUUCAAAUUUACCCUCAACAAUUUGAACACCAGAAGCACCAUGUGAUGACAAGAAAGACUGUGUAAUAGACAAGACAUAGGAGAGGGGUUUCUGUUUGCUGGUUUGUUUGUUGUUGUUUUUUUUUUUUUAAAUUUUUAAAACAUGCUUUGCAAAGUUAAAUUCUCAAAAUCCAACAGUGUUGUUUUGACCCUAUUCUUGUUGACUUAAAUGAGAUUUUUUUCAUGGACAAGACAACAAAGAAAAUAAAUCAGUGAUUCUGGAAUAAGAACUAAGCAACAGGCAUUAAAAUAAGUUCUCUAGAGAAGAAAAUAAAAUACAACAUUCACCUUAACAUGCUAGAGACAUCUCUCCACCACCCUUCAUACAUGUUCUCGGAUUUUGUCUUCUGAAGCUGUCUACCACCUAUACUUAUUUACUGAUCUAGUUAAUAACAAAAUAAAAUCCAUAUGAAGGAAAAAAUCCUUAUUCAUCACAAGUUUUAACACUGUUUUCUAGUAGAUGUACAUUUCACUGAAAUAUUUAUAUUCAAUAUUUUAGUGAAAUGUUCUGAUCUUAAAAGCAGACCUAGCUUUCAAUUAAGGACACAAAAAAUUUCUAUCUGCUUUGGAGGCCGUUGAAGACAAGAUAAAUGUCAAUCAUCUUUAUAGAUCACCAGAACAAGUUUUGUUUCCUCAAAAACCACUUUGAAAGGUUAAAGAAACAUACGUCUUCUGUAUUAGUAAGUGUUUUCAUAAAUAUGAACCUUUUCAACAAUGGGGCAGCUGCACUACUAGGAUGAAAAUGUAAACUCCAAAGACAGGAAAAAUGUUCUGAUCACUGUCACAGCCUUGUAAUAGUAAAACAGAGCCAGAUAUCUCACAGAUCACUUACUCCCAUCCUGAUAUUGCACCAUAUCUGAAGAAUAAGAAGAAGUCUGCUGUGGCAAAUAUGAGAUGGAUUUCUUAGUGAAGUAAGGUGGGAUUGAUCUUGUAUGGAAGGUCAAGUAAUAUUUUACUGCCCUGAUAAAUUUGAUUAUCUUGGAAAAUCUGUCAGCACCACACAGAACUAAUAUCUUCUACUGGUGGAAGACUACAACUGUACUGGUGCUACCACCUGAUCAGGUCACAGUGGAGAAGGCUACCCAGAACAACACAGGAGUGCAUUACAUAGCCAAAUAUGUAACUGGGUCAUUUAAUUCAGUUCCACAUCACUGCAAAGUGAACAGUGUCUUACCUAACUUUAAUCUUGCAAGAUCAAGCACAACGCUCAGUGACAACAUAAAAGCUCUUCAAAAAACAAGUGAAAAACAACAAAAAACCCCUUGAAUACCAGCAGUGGAACCACAGGAGACCAACGUGUAUAGGUCAAGUUAUGUCUCCUUAGAAUGCUAUUGUUUAUAAAUAUUUCUCAAAACCCCUUAAAGUAAGUGCUUCAUGGUCAUGACCAUAGUUUCUAAAUACUCCAAUCCUUUCCUCCCUUCCUUGCUGCUUUAAAGCACUACACAAACAUCAUCACUGAGGUGUAUCAAUAUGCUGGAUGAAGUUCAAAGGAGAAGAAAAUGCUUCAUACUCAAGUAGAUAAUC